UAGCUUAGUUGGUAAAGAAUUUGCCUGCAAUGCAGAAGACCCUGGUUCAAUUCUUGG
This 57-nucleotide transfer RNA is filed under the name Ovis aries (sheep). It matches the Rfam family "tRNA", at positions 8 to 63 of the family's 71-position model. From Rfam's summary of the family: Transfer RNA (tRNA) molecules are approximately 80 nucleotides in length. Their secondary structure includes four short double-helical elements and three loops (D, anti-codon, and T loops). Further hydrogen bonds mediate the characteristic L-shaped molecular structure. tRNAs have two regions of fundamental functional importance: the anti-codon, which is responsible for specific mRNA codon recognition, and the 3' end, to which the tRNAs corresponding amino acid is attached (by aminoacyl-tRNA synthetases). tRNAs cope with the degeneracy of the genetic code in two manners: having more than one tRNA (with a specific anti-codon) for a particular amino acid; and 'wobble' base-pairing, i.e. permitting non-standard base-pairing at the 3rd anti-codon position. Lineage: Eukaryota; Metazoa; Chordata; Mammalia; Artiodactyla; Bovidae. The record is from Rfam by way of RNAcentral.